AUGCAAUCCUAUUCCAGACAGACCCUGCCUCCGAGGGGGAGAGAGCAGUGCCCAUGGCCAGCCUCUCCCCUCGUGGAUUGGCCCCAUCUUGGUGGCUUCUCGUCCCUACUUGGAUUUUGGCUGUUAACCUCAAUGCUGGGAGCUAAUUGUACUGUUGGCAAACAGCUGGAGCACACCCAGGAAGAGCUGGAGCACUAUCUGGAGAGGCUGACCCAUGUCUUGUUUGACUCAGAAGCUAGGAAAAGGGAUGGCCACCAUGAUCAGAAGUCCCACCACCAGCAGCACAGAACCACUGAUGUUACAUCUGAAACUAAAGAGCAUUCAGGGAAGGAGGCAGCAUAUUCUCAGUAUCUGUCGAGCCACACAAGGGUUCAGACUUGAUGCAGCAGAUCAUCCUUGUCUGGACAGUUGAAAACAUUAAUAUAAGCCCCUCUUUUGUGCAAAAUCAAUGGAAAUCAUGCAGAAGCAUAGUAGCAGAAAUCAUCUUUUGCUGUUGCUCGCUUGUUUUUUGGGAGUAGUAAGAAAGAAGUUGCAACCUAAACAAACACUUGUCAUAACUUGUCAAGAAUGAAAGGCCUAAUUCUGCUCCUGUUGAAGUAAAAUGCAUAACUUUUCAACUUUGCUUGGAAGCAG
RNAcentral lists this long non-coding RNA (633 nucleotides) under Apteryx rowi (Okarito brown kiwi). RNAcentral's name for it is "lncRNA (ENSARWG00000016799.1)". Lineage: Eukaryota; Metazoa; Chordata; Aves; Apterygiformes; Apterygidae. The record is from RNAcentral.